This 497-nucleotide ribosomal RNA is filed under the name uncultured bacterium. RNAcentral describes it as "partial 16S ribosomal RNA". It matches the Rfam family "Bacterial small subunit ribosomal RNA", at positions 28 to 507 of the family's 1533-position model. The record is from RNAcentral.
GAUGAACGCUGGCGGCGUGCCUAAUACAUGCAAGUCGAGCGACCAGACGAGGAGCUUGUUCCUUCGCCGUUAGCGGCGGACGGGUGAGUAACACGUAGGUCACCUACCUCUAAGUCUGGGAUAACUUCGGGAAACCGGUGCCACUAAUAGCUCAUACUUCGAACCGCAUGGUUCGAUAGUGCAAGAUGGCUUUGCCAUCACUUAUAGCCGGACCGGCGCCGUAUUAGCUAGUUGGUAAGGUAACGGCUUACCAAGGCAACGAUACGUAGCUGACCUGAGAGGGUGAUCGGCCACACUGGAACUGAGACACGGUCCAGACUCCUACGGGAGGCAGCAGUGGGGAAUCUUCGACAAUGGGCGAAAGCCUGACGGAGCAACGCCGCGUGAGUGAAGAAGGUCUUCGGGUCGUAAAGCUCUGUUAUUAGGGAAGAACAAACGUAGAAGUAACUGUGCACGUCUUGACGGUACCUAAUGAGAAAGCCACGGCUAACUACGUG